UCAAGCACGCGAAAUCGAAACGCAUCUCGAAGCCCGCCCUUUUCCUACUCAACUCCCCGUCGUCCUUCCUCUAAACCUUCCCCUGAUUCUCCUCUCUUGCUCUCGCGCUUUCAUCUCCGAUCUCGUCGCUCUCUUUCUCAAUCUCUCUCGUGAGGUCUAACGAUGGGGAGAGGUUCAUCCAGGUCCAACCCGUCGAGGCCGCGGAAGAGGGUGGAGGCGGAGACGGCCAGCACGCCAAGGAUGAGAGGGCCUUCGCCAGAUGCCAGGCAUGCAAUAAGAAUGUCGCUGUUGUUCUCAUAGACGUGCACAGCUGCGGUCUCGAUUCCAAAACCAAAAUGACCCUUGCUACGCUCUUUUGUGAUUUCAUGUAUUAUUGAUUUCUUAUGUCUCAUUCUGAUAGUGUUACUGCAGCAGAGUCCUAGGGAGAAAGCAGUUGAGGCAAAGAAGCCGACAGAGAAAAAGAGGGUCGCCUCAUCUGAGAGUAAGGAGAAGAAGGCAAAGAAGGGGAAGAAGUCCAAAGACCCUAGUGCUCCCAAGCGCCCUCCAACUGCUCAAGUUCUCAUUUAAACUAUUGUUAAGCCUUUUUAGGACUCCCCUAACUAAUUUCGAUCUAUGUAAUGUUGCUGUAGGGAAGACUUUAGGAAGUCAUACAAAGAGGCUAACCCCGAUAACAAUUUGAUUUGUUCUCUGCUCAUGAUUUUAAAUUAAGAUUCUUCAGUUUGUUCCAUUGUUACUUUUUUUGACUGGAUCAUAACAGGUGUCCAAGGAAGGUGAUGAGAAGUGGAAGGCCAUGUCAGAUGGAGUGUUUUAUAGACUU
Musa acuminata subsp. malaccensis (wild Malaysian banana) is the source of this 817-nucleotide long non-coding RNA. RefSeq lists it as uncharacterized. The record is from RefSeq and is a predicted model, not a curated record. Lineage: Eukaryota; Viridiplantae; Streptophyta; Magnoliopsida; Zingiberales; Musaceae.